AAAUUGAAGAGUUUGAUCAUGGCUCAGAUUGAACGCUGGCGGCAGGCCUAACACAUGCAAGUCGAACGGUAACAGGAAGCGCUUGCUGUUUCGCUGACGAGUGGCGGACGGGUGAGUAAUGUCUGGGAAACUGCCUGAUGGAGGGGGAUAACUACUGGAAACGGUAGCUAAUACCGCAUAACGUCGCAAGACCAAAGAGGGGGACCUUCGGGCCUCUUGCCAUCGGAUGUGCCCAGAUGGGAUUAGCUUGUUGGUGGGGUAACGGCUCACCAAGGCGACGAUCCCUAGCUGGUCUGAGAGGAUGACCAGCCACACUGGAACUGAGACACGGUC
Molecule: ribosomal RNA, 333 nt
Filed under: Shigella flexneri
Lineage: Bacteria; Pseudomonadati; Pseudomonadota; Gammaproteobacteria; Enterobacterales; Enterobacteriaceae
Description: bacterial SSU rRNA
Rfam family: Bacterial small subunit ribosomal RNA
Source: RNAcentral